This 565-nucleotide ribosomal RNA is filed under the name Haemophilus sp. HGB0126. RNAcentral's name for it is "bacterial SSU rRNA". It matches the Rfam family "Bacterial small subunit ribosomal RNA", at positions 75 to 637 of the family's 1533-position model. The record is from RNAcentral. Lineage: Bacteria; Pseudomonadati; Pseudomonadota; Gammaproteobacteria; Pasteurellales; Pasteurellaceae.
CUUGCUUCUUUGAUGACGAGUGGCGGACGGGUGAGUAAUGCUUGGGAAUCUGGCUUAUGGAGGGGGAUAACUACGGGAAACUGUAGCUAAUACCGCGUAAAAUCGGAAGAUGAAAGUGUGGGACCUUCGGGCCACAUGCCAUAGGAUGAGCCCAAGUGGGAUUAGGUAGUUGGUGAGGUAAAGGCUCACCAAGCCGACGAUCUCUAGCUGGUCUGAGAGGAUGACCAGCCACACUGGGACUGAGACACGGCCCAGACUCCUACGGGAGGCAGCAGUGGGGAAUAUUGCGCAAUGGGGGCAACCCUGACGCAGCCAUGCCGCGUGAAUGAAGAAGGCCUUCGGGUUGUAAAGUUCUUUCGGUAGCGAGGAAGGCAUUUAGUUUAAUAGACUAGGUGAUUGACGUUAACUACAGAAGAAGCACCGGCUAACUCCGUGCCAGCAGCCGCGGUAAUACGGAGGGUGCGAGCGUUAAUCGGAAUAACUGGGCGUAAAGGGCACGCAGGCGGUGACUUAAGUGAGGUGUGAAAGCCCCGGGCUUAACCUGGGAAUUGCAUUUCAUACUGGG